UAGAUGCCUUAAGAGAAUUAGAUCUUCUUCAUGAUUCAGAAUGGGGUAAAAAGAAGAAUGAUGAAGAGAAAGCUAGAUUGCAUUGCACCAAGGAAAACAGGAUUCAUUACUUAUAACUAGAAGCUUUUGUCAUAGUUAUCUUUUUAACAUUUUAUUAGUUCUGUGUUUGUGUGUGAGGGGUAGGUAGAUGCAUAUGAGUGCAGGAGCGGAAAGCAACCUGAAGAACCUAGUCAUGUUCCCUGGAGCUGUACUUAUAUAGCCAGCUGUCCCAUAUGAGAGCUGAGAACUGAGCUCUAGUCCUCUGGAAGAACAGUCCUGAGUGCUGCAAUUGCAGGCAUGUGCUGCCAUGCCAGGUUUUGUGCAGUGCUGUGGAAUGAAUCCAGGGUUUUAUGCCUGCUGGAGAGAUCCUAGAGUUCCAGACUAGGGAGUAUGAGAAGAGUCAUCCUCAUUCCAGCCUGUGAAAGUGACUGCUCUACAUACACAUGCUGUGUCUCACUUCUAAGAAUUUCCAGGGCCUGGCAUAAAAGGGCUCCUGUGUCAGGUCCAUCAGUCCUCAGCCUUACCAGUUUCAGGCCCCUCUUCUUCUGCUGAACAAGUUUCCAGACUUCCUCCCAAGAAUGUCCUGCCAGCAGAGUCAGCAACAGUGCCAGCCCCCUCCCAAAUGCACACCCAAGUGCCCUCCCAAGUGCCAGACUCCCAAAUGCCCCCCAAAGUGUCCCCCUAAGUGUCCUCCCAAGUGCCCCCCUGUGUCUUCCUGCUGUAGCCUGGGUUCUGGGGGCUGCUGCGGCUCCAGCUCUGGUGGCUGCUGUGGUUCCAGCUCUGGAGGCUGCUGCAGCUCUGGGAGUGGAGGUUGCUGUCUGAGCCACCACAAACCCCACAGAUCUUUCCGUCGCCAUCGUCACAGUUCUGGAUGCUGUAGCAGUAGUGGCAGCAGUGGUUGCUGUGGCAGUAGUGGCAGCAGUGGUUGCUGUGGCAGCAGUGGUGGCAGCAGUGGUUGCUGUGGCAGCAGUGGUGGCAGCAGUGGUUGCUGUGGUGGUAACCAGCAGUCUGGGGACUGCUGUUGAACUGAUUGAUGAAGACUUCAGACAAACAGUAAAGGAGGCAACCAUCUUCACGGGACCUGCUCCUGCCUGCUAUUUCUCCCUCUCUUCCUGUCUUCUGUGUUCUGGACUUCAAGAUGAUGAAUUUUUCAGUGAAGUUCAAAUUUUACUCCUUAGUCAGAACCCCUUCUGUGAUUCCAAAUAAAAUCUUUCCUAACAAUC
Long non-coding RNA from Mastomys coucha (southern multimammate mouse), 1262 nucleotides. RefSeq lists it as uncharacterized. The record is from RefSeq and is a predicted model, not a curated record. The transcript has 4 exons. Lineage: Eukaryota; Metazoa; Chordata; Mammalia; Rodentia; Muridae.